Long non-coding RNA from Meriones unguiculatus (Mongolian gerbil), 1929 nucleotides. RefSeq lists it as uncharacterized. NCBI's taxonomy places the organism in Eukaryota, Metazoa, Chordata, Mammalia, Rodentia, Muridae. The record is from RefSeq and is a predicted model, not a curated record. The transcript has 5 exons.
GCUGAAGGCUGGCCUGCAAGAGAGCUGCUAAGUCCUGCACAUGCCCAUCGCAAGGCAUCGAAUUUAAGCUGUCUUUACCCUCUGAGCCAUCUAGCCAGCGGCCAAGGAAAAUUACCUAGGAAGGCAGUUCAAACGCUUCUCGGAGUGACCAUGGGCCUGUGCGCUCGCAUUGUCCGGCCUGUGCCUGCCUCUCAGUUCAUCGAGAACCAUAGUGACAGCGAUGUACUGCCGAGAACCCCUGAGCUCCUGAGUUCUCUGGCCUAGACCAUAUCUGUCUGCAGGUGAGCUCACAACACUGGCUCACCACCAGAUGCCCCGAGUAAGGGCGAAAUAGGCUGGAAGGUCCGUAGAAGCAUAGAAGACUUGGCAUUGGUUCAGCAUCUGCUCAGUGCUUUCUUGCUGCAUCCUGAGAGGGCAGAGAGCCCCUAUGGCAAGCCAGAAGUAUCCCCACAAGAGUUCUCUCUCUCUCUCCCCCUCCCUCCCUCCUGUUGCAGGAUAUUUGAUCACAUUGUAAACUCCAAGAUUGUGAACUGGAAAAAAAAAAGAAAAAAAAAAAAAAAAAGAAAACUGGUCUUGCUGUGGUGUGGCUCAGCCUUAACACAUAGGUCUAACCCACGAGCUAAAUAAAGUCAACCACAGAUCAAGAGGUGGAACAAGCAACCUGUUGAAAAGGAGUGAACUGAUCUUUUUCAACUUGACACUAGAGUCAUAUGAGAAGAGGAAACCUCAACUGAGAAUACGCUCUUAUCAGCCUGACCUGUGGACAAGCCUGUGAAGCCAUUUUCUUCAUUAAUAAUUGAUGUAGGAGGGCCCAGCUCAUUGUGACUGGCAGCAUCCCUGGGCAGAUGGUCCUGGAAGAUGUAAGAAAGCAGACUGAGAAAGCCAGUGGGAGCAAGCCAGGAAGCAACACUCCACCACAUCCUCUGCAUCAGCUCCUGUUGCAGCCACAGGUGCCCCAAGAGCUGAGGCAGGAAAAUCAAGAGUUUGAACGGCCAGCAUUUUGAGAGAAUCGCUCUCUCAAAAAAUACAGUGGAAAACAAAAGAGAACUGGGACGCAGUUCAUGCCUACAUGACUGAGGUCAUCUUCAUCUCCAGCAAUAACAAAACAAUCUUGACAGUAACUCACACCUCUUAAAAUAAUAGGAAGUGGUCAGUGAGACGGCUCAUAGGAAAACGGUACUUAGGGCAACCUGAGUUCUAAUCCCAGGAUGUACAUGAUGGAAGGAGAGAAAAGAUUCCCACAUGCUCUCCUCUGACCUCCACACAUGUGGCCUGCCAUUCAUGUCCUACACACAUGCACACAAGUAAAUGUACCAAAAAUGUUAAAACAUCAGGAGGUGUCUUCGUUAGGGUUUCUAUUUCUGUGAAGAGAUAGCAAGACCAAGGCAAGUCUUAUAAAGGAAACCGUGUCAUUGGGGGCUGGUUAGUUCAGAGGUUGUCACCGUGGAGGGAAGCUGGAGGCGUGAAGGCCGGCAUGGUACAGGAGAGGUAGUUGAGAGUUCUGCAUCAGGAUCAGCAGGCAGCAGGAAGAGAGAAUGACACUGGGCCUGGCUUGAGCUUCGGAAACCUCAAAGCCCACCCCCAGUGACACACUUCCUCUAACAAGGCCACAUCUACUCCAAUAACACCACAUCACUUUCUAUGAGCCUAUGGGGGCCAUUUUCACUCAAACCACCACAGGAGGCAUAUAAGAAGAUAUUUUUGUACUGUUGUAAUUUAAUUGGUGAACUAGUUGUCUCAAAGAUUAGACUAAAAUGAUACAUUAUUAAUUUUCUACUUAAUAAUUAAUAUUAUAUAUUUUUAUAUAUUAUAUAUUUAUAAUAUAUAUAUACAUACAUACAAUAAAGCCUGAGUAAGUCUACAAGUUUAUUUCUUUAUAAUCUUACCAGACGUCUUAAAUUCCCUCUAAAUGUCACCUUGAAUUAUCAA